UACAGAGGGUGCAAGCGUUAAUCGGAAUUACUGGGCGUAAAGCGCACGUAGGUGGUUUAGCAAGUUGGAUGUGAAAGCCCUGGGCUUAACCUGGGAACUGCAUACAAUACUACUAAGCUAGAGUAGAGUAGAGGGAAGUGGAAUUUCCGGUGUAGCGGUGAAAUGCGUAGAUAUCGGAAGGAACACCAGUGGCGAAGGCGGCUUCCUGGACUCAUACUGACACUGAGGUGCGAAAGCGUGGGGAGCAACCAGG
This 253-nucleotide ribosomal RNA is filed under the name uncultured bacterium. RNAcentral's name for it is "partial 16S ribosomal RNA". It matches the Rfam family "Bacterial small subunit ribosomal RNA", at positions 524 to 776 of the family's 1533-position model. The record is from RNAcentral.